Etheostoma cragini (Arkansas darter) is the source of this 443-nucleotide long non-coding RNA. RefSeq lists it as uncharacterized. The record is from RefSeq and is a predicted model, not a curated record. NCBI's taxonomy places the organism in Eukaryota, Metazoa, Chordata, Actinopteri, Perciformes, Percidae. The transcript is spliced from 3 exons.
CCCGCUGACCUGUGACCUGUAGCUUUCAGAGAAACAGUUCUUCGUGACGGCGUUGGCGGCGCGGGCGAAGCUGAAGGCGUGGUCCGACGUGGACGCUCUGUUUACCUGCCGGACCUGGCUCGGCUUCACCAGGAAGAAAGCUCCGCUCGGCUUCCACAGGGUCGUCGACCUGCUGCACAAGAACGCCGCGCCCACGCAGGUGCUCCAGGACUACGUGGCCCUGGUUGACGACGCCGAUCUGAGGAUCUCAUUGGCUCAGAAACAUAAAUGUCACGACAUCGUCAUUAACACGUACCGGGACCUGAAGGACCGGCAGCAGUUGCUAGGAUACCGGACAAAGAUGGAGAGAGGAUCGGCGGAGGAGAAGAAGAUUAAUGAACUGCUCAACAACUCGGUGAGGAAGAAGAUACUGUCUCUCUCUCUCUCUCUCUCUCUCUCUGUCU